UGGCUAUGGGAUACUUAGUACGGCGAGUGAGCGGUAAAAGCUCAAAUUUGAAAUCUGGUACUUUCAGUGCCCGAGUUGUAAUUUGUAGAAUUUGUCUUUGAUUAGGUCCUUGUCUAUGUUCCUUGGAACAGGACGUCAUAGAGGGUGAGAAUCCCGUUUGGCGAGGAUACCUUUUCUCUGUAAGACUUUUUCGAAGAGUCGAGUUGUUUGGGAAUGCAGCUCAAAGUGGGUGGUAAAUUCCAUCUAAAGCUAAAUAUUGGCGAGAGACCGAUAGCGAACAAGUACAGUGAUGGAAAGAUGAAAAGAACUUUGAAAAGAGAGUGAAAAAGUACGUGAAAUUGUUGAAAGGGAAGGGCAUUUGAUCAGACAUGGUGUUUUUUGCAUGCACUCGCCUCUCGUGGGCUUGGGCCUCUCAAAAAUUUCACUGGGCCAACAUCAAUUCUGGCAGCAGGAUAAAUCAUUAAGAAUGUAGCUACUUCGGUAGUGUUAUAGCUUUUUGGAAUACUGUUAGCCGGGAUUGAGGACUGCGCUUCGGCAAGGAUGUUGGCAUAAUGGUUAAAUGCCGCCCGUCUUGAACCAACGGACCA
RNAcentral lists this ribosomal RNA (587 nucleotides) under Hanseniaspora uvarum. RNAcentral describes it as "partial large subunit ribosomal RNA". It matches the Rfam family "Eukaryotic large subunit ribosomal RNA", at positions 66 to 668 of the family's 3401-position model. Lineage: Eukaryota; Fungi; Ascomycota; Saccharomycetes; Saccharomycodales; Saccharomycodaceae. The record is from RNAcentral.